CCCUUAGAUGUUCUGGGCCGCACGCGCGCUACACUGAUGCAUUCAACGAGCCUAUCCUUGACCGACAGGUCCGGGUAAUCUUUGAAUCUGCAUCGUGACGGGGAUAGAUUAUUGCAAUUAUUAAUCUUCAACGAGGAAUGCCUAGUAGGCGCAAGUCAUCAGCUUGCGUCGAUUACGUCCCUGCCCUUUGUACACACCGCCCGUCGCUCCUACCGAUUGAAUGGUCCGGUGAAAUCUUCGGAUUGAGACUUUGAUUUGUUUACUCAAAACGCUGUUUCAAGAAGUUGAUUAAACCUUACCAUUUAGAGGAAGGUGAAGUCGUAACA
This 326-nucleotide ribosomal RNA is filed under the name uncultured eukaryote. RNAcentral's name for it is "partial 18S ribosomal RNA". It matches the Rfam family "Eukaryotic small subunit ribosomal RNA", at positions 1470 to 1796 of the family's 1831-position model. The record is from RNAcentral.